Molecule: ribosomal RNA, 253 nt
Filed under: uncultured bacterium
Lineage: Bacteria
Description: partial 16S ribosomal RNA
Rfam family: Bacterial small subunit ribosomal RNA
Source: RNAcentral
UACGUAGGGUGCAAGCGUUAAUCGGAAUUACUGGGCGUAAAGCGUGCGCAGGCGGUUUUGUAAGUCUGUCGUGAAAUCCCCGGGCUCAACCUGGGAAUUGCGAUGGAGACUGCAAGGCUAGAAUCUGGCAGAGGGGGGUAGAAUUCCACGUGUGGCAGUGAAAUGCGUAGAGAUGUGGAGGAACACCGAUGGCGAAGGCAGCCCCCUGGGUCAAGAUUGACGCUCAUGCACGAAAGCGUGGGGAGCAAACAGG